UACGGGGGGGGCAAGCGUUGUUCGGAAUUACUGGGCGUAAAGGGCUCGUAGGCGGCCAACUAAGUCGGACGUGAAACCCCUCGGCUUAACCGGGGAACUGCGUCCGAUACUGGAUGGCUUGAGUUUGGGAGAGGGAUGCGGAAUUCCAGGUGUAGCGGUGAAAUGCGUAGAUAUCUGGAGGAACACCGGUGGCGAAGGCGGCAUCCUGGACCAACACUGACGCUGAUGAGCGAAAGCCAGGGGAGCAAACGGG
This 253-nucleotide ribosomal RNA is filed under the name uncultured bacterium. Its description in RNAcentral is "partial 16S ribosomal RNA". It matches the Rfam family "Bacterial small subunit ribosomal RNA", at positions 524 to 776 of the family's 1533-position model. The record is from RNAcentral.